This 255-nucleotide ribosomal RNA is filed under the name uncultured bacterium. Its description in RNAcentral is "partial 16S ribosomal RNA". It matches the Rfam family "Bacterial small subunit ribosomal RNA", at positions 524 to 776 of the family's 1533-position model. The record is from RNAcentral.
UACGGUAGGGUGCGAGCGUUUGUCCGGAAUUACUGGGCGUAAAGAGCUCGUAGGCGGUCUGUCGCGUCGGCUGUGAAACUCGGGCUCAACUCCGAGCUUGCAGUCGAUACGGGCAGGCUCGAGUUCGGUAGGGAGGACUGGAAUUCCUGGUGUAGCGGUGAAAUGCGCAGAUAUCAGGAGGAACACCGGUGGCGAAGGCGGGUCUCUGGGCCGGUAUACUGACGCUGAGGAGCGAAAGCGUGGGGAGCGAACAGG